Molecule: non-coding RNA, 3332 nt
Organism: Odocoileus virginianus texanus
Lineage: Eukaryota; Metazoa; Chordata; Mammalia; Artiodactyla; Cervidae
Source: RefSeq, a predicted model, not a curated record
UGCUUAAUAUCUAGGGAGUUACAGCUUUUCUCUUUUGGUACUGUUUGUUUAUUUUGAGCAGUUAACUUCCUACUUCUUAGGGUCUGACAAGGCUUCAAUCAAGGUGUUGGUUCAGCUUCAUUCUAUAGCUUGGGGUACUCCUACAAGUUUCUGUACUGUUGAAAGGCUUCUUUCCAAUUCUAGACUCUCACUUUUUUUUUAGAGAACUUAUCUGUUGACUGGUUUACAUAUUUCAAUUUAAUCUUAAUUUUCCUGUUGAAGUAUACCUGAUUUAUAAAGUUAUAUAAGUUUAGGUGUAUAACAUAGUGAUUCAAUAUUUUUUGUAGAUUAUACUCCAUAUAGGGUUAUUAUAACAUAUUGGUUAUAUGUCACUAUGCUGUACAUUAUAUUUUCUUUGUUUCUUUUGGCUAUGCCACACAACUUAUGGGAUCUUAGUUCCCCAACUGGGGAUUGAACCCAGGCCCUCAGCAGUGAAAGUCCUAACAACCAGACUACCACAGAAUUUCCUACAUUACACUCAUGCAUCUUGUUUAUUUUAUAACUAGUAUUUUCUAUCUCUUAAUCCCUUCUCCUAUCUUGCCUCCCCACCUUCCCCUCUCCUCACUAGUAACCACUAGUCUGUUCUCUGUAUCUGUGGGUCUGUUUUGAUUUUAUCAUAUUCAUUCACUUGUGUAACUUUUUAGAUUCCAUAUACAAGUGAAAAUGUACAGCAUCAUUUUUAUCUAACUUACUUCGUUAAGUUUAAUACUCUCCAAGUCUACCCAUGUUAUUGCAAAAUGGCAAAAUCUCAUUCUUUUAUGAUUGACUAACAUUCCAUCAUAGGUCCUUGCCACAUAGACACAGUAAGCCUAGUCAUUACAGAGAAUCUGCAAGGAAGACAGAGCAUAAUUUAACAGAGCAUAUAAUCAAGGGAGAAACAUCCCAGAACAUUUGGGCUAUUCUCUUGGUUGAAGAAACCUGCAGGUCCAGGAGGGGAAAGAAUUAUAGGAAACUAUGAUCAUCCAUGAGACAAGGACCACGGGUGACCACUUUUUCAUGUUUCCCUCCACAGAUGGCAUUUUGAAGCCAAAAUAAACAAAACAUGGAUCUCAUGAAAAUAAUUCAUCAGUUGAACUAAGCUAUAUGUUUAAUGACUUUGAAUAUUAUGGUAUUAUCUUUUUCUAGAGAGGGCUCACUCUUUUUUCACUGCUAGCCAGAGAAAGUGGGGGACUGAUCAUCUUAAUCCAAUCGGGGACUGAUAGGAGUUGAAGCCAGGUUGCAUUUAGUUUAAGACUCUUUUUUGUUCCUUUUUCUAAGGUAUAGUAUAGGGCUUUCACCUAAGAGCCUAAAGUUUCAUCAGGGAGCCUCUCUGGGAAGAUCCUGUAUUUUAAUCCAUCUUCCUUGAAUAUAAGACUGAAAAAAAAAAAAAAAAUCCUUCCUCUACUUACUCAGAGCUUUUAGGCUUAUAUUAAAUCUCUCACACUGCAAUUUCUACAUCACCAAUUAUUUCCAGGUAAAAAGCUGCUGAUCAUUACUUCCUUCUCCUAAAUCAUCCCGUCCUUGUGAUAUUUGCCCCUCUCAUUCUUCCUUGCUCCAGAUUUCUGAUGCCAAUACAGAUUUUUUUCUCUUAAAAUCAUUAUCUCAAUUUUGAAGUCAGUCAUUCUAGAAAUAUUGGCCUUACACCAAUGUUUUUACCCUAUAAUAAAUCAGAAGCCUUUAAUUCUGUCUUAAAAAAUUAGACAAUUUCUUUCAGUGUUUAUAUCAUUUUUCCUAAUUUUUUUUUGUUUUAAUACCUCACAUUUCUCUCUUGAUUCUGAGUCCAUUCUCCCAGAAAAAAUAUAUUUCUUUCUGUUAUUUUUUUCUUUGAAUUUGUUUUAUUUACUGCAUUUUACUUAGUUGCAGUAGAAAUAGAAUUCUACUGCAUUCUACUUCUAUCAUUUCCUCACAUUUUAUUGUCUGUUCUCCUUUCAAGAAUAAUAAAGGGGAAAAAAAGGCCUUUGGAGUAAACUGGGAACCUGGAAACUAUGCUGCAUGAAAGUGAAAAAGUGCAAGUCACAAGCACUGAAGACUGAAGGUGCAGGAUGGAGAAAGAAGGGACUUGCUGAUUUCAGUUCGCCUGUUGUUCCUGUCAAAGUCAUCCCAUGAAUGUUGCUUCACCUUAGCUGCAGCAGUGGUUUCCCACUUACAGUAUAAUCUUGCUCUCUGCAAACCAUCUUCAUCAUCCACCCCUUCCCUACCCGACCCCCAGGGGGUUACCAGGACUAGGUGGACUACUAGCUCUUCAAGAGCUGUCCUCUGAACAAAUGUGGUAUCGCAUCAACACAUGUGUCGUCUCCUCCUCAGCUAUGGCUCUGUGGGACCCUCAUUUUCAGUUCCUAAAUAUUAGUUGCUCUGAGGUCAGAGUGCUUGUCUGUAAGACUCCUCCUGGGUUACCCGCUAGUGGCUGGCAAUCCCUUUUCACGUAUCUGAUCUUUGGAUUAUGUGGGACCUACUCUUGGCCUGUAGUUUCUGAAGACUCCAAUGUGUUCCACUGUCUCUGAAGGCAAAACCCAGUUUCUCAUUAAUUACUGUCUUACUUCAUUUUGUCCUAUUUUGUUCAAGUUACCCAAUAUUUGUUUAAUGAAUUUCUUGUAUUGAAUUUUCUCUGUUGAAGUAGCUAGGGUGUUUUAUGUUGCUGUUGUUGUUUUUCCGAACUGAAAUCUCACAAAUGCAUUGUGUAUCCAUCUUCAUUCAGUCUCCAUUUCCUUAUUGACUGCCUUAGAGAAACAGGUGAAAUUUGGAGACUCACUUGAAUGGAUAGGAAUCAGCUUAAUCUCAUCAUCCACCUCUUCUACCAAGCAGAUUCUUUAGUGUCUGAGCCACCAGGUAAGCCCAUCUUCUAUCAAGUAUGUUAGUCACACAGUGGUGUCUGACUUUUUUCGACCCCACUGUCUGUAGCCUGCCAAGCCCCUCUUUCCCUGGGAAUUUCCAGGCAAGAAAUACAGGAAUGGGUUGCCAUUUCCUACUCUAGCCUCUUCUACCAAGUAUGUCAUUAAUUCCACAUCUAGAUGCUAUGACUGGUUCACUUUCACUCCUAAAGCAUCUCUCAAAUGCUAAUUCUUAGCCACUCAAGUUAGUUUCCAUUCUAAUUUAAUGAUUUCAUCAUCCAUAUUUUGUGCCAGAUUUUCCAGUUUCCCCCUCAUCUUAUUGAUAACUCCUCUUUAAAGGCCUUUGUGAUUGUAUGCUGCCAAACUUGUUGGAUGGUCUUCUUACCAGAACUCUGCCUAUGGUUCACUGCUGAGACUUUAUGUAUUGGAUCACUAUACUCUUUACAUAUGGUGACUGCAGCCAUGAAAUUAAAAGAUGCCUGCUCC